GCCUAGCCCUAAAUCUUGAUGUCUCAUGCACACAAACAUCCGCCCGAGAACUACGAGCACAAACGCUUAAAACUCUAAGGACUUGGCGGUGCCCUAAACCCACCUAGAGGAGCCUGUUCUAUAACCGAUAAUCCACGAUACACCCAACCACUUCUUGCCAAAACAGCCUACAUACCGCCGUCGCCAGCCCACCUCCAUGAGAGCACAACAGUGAGCUCAAAAGCCCACCAACUA
RNAcentral lists this ribosomal RNA (234 nucleotides) under uncultured organism. Its description in RNAcentral is "partial 12S ribosomal RNA". The record is from RNAcentral.